UAUUUAUAACUAAACAAUUUUUCUUGUAUUAAUUAUUAAUCAUUAUAUUAUAACUUUUUGUAUCGACAUAUUAUAUUUAACUUUUGUUCAUAAAAAACUCAUAAUUUAGUUAAAUAAAUUUUCUUCCCUUAUCGUUUCAAAAGAUGCUGAAAAAUAUGUUACCGGAAAUGUUUUAAGAAGUUUUAACAAAUGGAACAAAUCAUUGAAAUCAAUAAAUGAAAUCGUACAAAAAAGUGAUUUAAAGCAAAAAUACGGAGAGAAACAACAAACCAACUUGGUUAACAUAUUACAGGUUAAAGACGUUACUGAAUUUAUGGAAAAUGUACUUGAACUCCAAAAUCCUAUGAACAGAAAAGAAUCAAACUUAGUAAUUUUAAAUCACGGCGGGUCGUGGUUUAAAUUUGCCUAAGCUUGUCUCUAGUCUAUAUGUUAUUUUUAUUGAAUUUAUAGAAAAAUUAGUAAUUAAUUUGAAUUUUUUUAUAUAAACAUUUUUAUGAUGUUACAAUAUUUGAGUGCAUAUAGUAUUAAUAACAUUCCACUUUUAAACGAAUUUAUUAAUAUUUUAAAUAACAUAUUGCAUUUAAUUUAUUAUAACUAACGUAAUAAGUUUAUUUUUAAAGUGCGUUUUUUUAAACUUCUGUUUUAUUUUUCAAAAUUAAACAUAACUUAAUUCAUUAACUCAAAAUUUGUUUAAUUUCACGGACACGAGUAGUAUGAAAAUGUAUAGAUUUAAAAUCCGUAGCCCAACAGCUUCACAUCCCGCAACAUUCUCACUUCCCCCUCAUCCCUCCCCACUUUAACCAUUGACUCAAUCAUUCUUUAUCAUUGUUGUUAGUAAUAAAAAAAUUACCUCCAGAGGCAAUCACUUCCUUUGACCCUUCUCUAAAUGCGUCACUAAUUUAAGGGUUGCUAUCCUUGUGUCCAUCGCGUUUGAUCCCCUACUGGCCAAGACUUAGAACGCGUGCAUGACGCUAACGUGUAUGCGCCAAGACAAUAUGGACAGGUACCA
Molecule: long non-coding RNA, 1009 nt
Organism: Aphis gossypii (cotton aphid)
Lineage: Eukaryota; Metazoa; Arthropoda; Insecta; Hemiptera; Aphididae
Exons: 3
Source: RefSeq, a predicted model, not a curated record